AUUAAGAUGUCUGAUUAAAAAGUAAUAAACUGUAAAUUUAUUUAUAAGUAACAAUGUUACUUUCUUGAUA
RNAcentral lists this transfer RNA (70 nucleotides) under Signoretia aureola. RNAcentral describes it as "tRNA-Tyr". The record is from RNAcentral. Lineage: Eukaryota; Metazoa; Arthropoda; Insecta; Hemiptera; Cicadellidae.